GAUGAAGAACGCAGCGAAAUGCGAUACUUGGUGUGAAUUGCAGAAUCCCGUGAACCAUCGAGUCUUUGAACGCAAGUUGCGCCCGAAGCCACUAGGCCGAGGGCACGCCUGCCUGGGCGUCACACGUCGUUGCCCCCCCAUCUACUCCUUCGGGAUUGCGGGGGGGCGGAUGAUGGCCUCCCGUGCGCCUAGCCGCGCGGUUGGCAUAAAUACCAAGUCCUCGGCGACGCACGCCACGACAAUCGGUGGUUGCGAAACCUCGGUUGCCCGUCGUGUGCGUUCGUCGCGCAUCGAGGGCUCGAAAAAAUGCUCGGCUCCGGCUGGGCUUUCAACGCGACCCCAGGUCAGGCGGGGUUACCCGCUGAAUUUAAGCAUAUCAAUAAGCGGAGG
RNAcentral lists this unclassified non-coding RNA (390 nucleotides) under soil metagenome. RNAcentral's name for it is "partial contains 5.8S ribosomal RNA, internal transcribed spacer 2, and large subunit ribosomal RNA". The stretch from base 1 to 122 matches the Rfam family "5.8S ribosomal RNA", at positions 35 to 154 of the family's 154-position model. The record is from RNAcentral.